UGUUCUGAGGCUUUAAUGCUAGUAG
RNAcentral lists this non-coding RNA (25 nucleotides) under Cricetulus griseus (Chinese hamster). Lineage: Eukaryota; Metazoa; Chordata; Mammalia; Rodentia; Cricetidae. The record is from RNAcentral.